CUCCUGUGAGUGUCCAAACAUCUGGACACAUGGCAGUAACAUUGUGAGGUGCUCCAAGUAAAAUCUUUAAAUGUGUAGCUCUACCCCAGGGUGACUGUGGUCUAACAGUUCUUUUAUAAAAAGGCAUCAGAAUGCUCAACAGGAUAAAUUUACAAAACUUACAAAUUAUCCAAUUGCACUUUAAUACACGAAGUUCUAGUAAUUAAGUAGAAUCAUUGUGAAUGAAUUGCCCCGACUCUUGAUAUGAGCUAGAUAAAAGUAAUCCUGUCUUUUGUCCUUCUCCCAACACAACGCUAUAGAGCUGGAGUGCUGAGCAUCUCUUCCUAACAAAUUGUCUACUCCAAAUCCACAGGAACUGAU
Molecule: non-coding RNA, 360 nt
Organism: Pelobates cultripes (western spadefoot toad)
Lineage: Eukaryota; Metazoa; Chordata; Amphibia; Anura; Pelobatidae
Source: the annotation of a GenBank genome assembly